CUUCCAUGAACCUUCAGAAAUGGGAGGGCUUUGAGAUGAGUUACUGGGCUAAAACCAUCAAUAGGAAGGCACUGAUGAGCAGCAGCAGCCAGCUUUAUGUCACCAGCAUACUUCCCUAAAGACUGAGAUUUUGGUUCUAGCUCAACAUAUGGACCUCAGAACGAAGAGGUGACGUGAUUGAUCUCUCUCCCCCCACCUCACAGCAUGUUGCUGACUUCUGCACAGCCCAGCUGAAGAUGGGCAGGCAGCUCCUGGAAGGACACACGAUGCCCUUUCUUCUUCUGAAUGUUGGCUUGCUGUGGGGCUCUGGAGAAAUAACUGAGCUGAGGAGGGGGACAGCGCUGGUGCUUAGAUCUCUAAGGUGUGAUCUCCUGCCUCUAUCCGAGACAGCUCAGGAAUCCAUAUGGUCCUGCCAAGGCAAAGGUCUUCAGCUCCUCACAGAUCUCUCCUCCUCUUGCUGCGGGCAGAAAGCUGGGUAGUGUUUUUGGACUUUGCUGCUUCAAACUUGUAAAACUUGUAUAGCAACUGUGAACUAAAACUCAAAUGAUACUCUAGCAAAACAAGCCUAUGCUCCUCCAGCACCUGCUCGUCUUGCAAGGAUGGGAAGGGAAAAUGGAUGGGUUUUGAGUUGUUUGAGGCACUUCAGGAGAACGCUGGGGUUAUGCAAUUGUAGUGGUGCACUGUCCUCACUGGAAGAAG
Molecule: long non-coding RNA, 699 nt
Organism: Gallus gallus (chicken)
Lineage: Eukaryota; Metazoa; Chordata; Aves; Galliformes; Phasianidae
Source: Ensembl